GUCAAGAUCACCGAGCGGUCCAAGGCGUCAGAUUUAAGCUCUGGUUCUUGAAAGAGAGCGUGGGAUCGAACCCCACUCCUGACA
Non-coding RNA from Trichonephila clavipes, 84 nucleotides. The record is from the annotation of a GenBank genome assembly. Lineage: Eukaryota; Metazoa; Arthropoda; Arachnida; Araneae; Nephilidae.